This 20826-nucleotide long non-coding RNA is filed under the name Lynx pardinus (Iberian lynx). Lineage: Eukaryota; Metazoa; Chordata; Mammalia; Carnivora; Felidae. The record is from RNAcentral.
AGGAUCUACUGCAUCUGCUAUCACAGCAGCAAACUCAGGGAGGUGAUCACAGGAGACCUGCUGCCAUCCUCCGCCAUGGUCAAAGACUUGAGCCAAGAGCUGGGGCUGCCCAUUUCGCAAGGCCUCACAGAUGGAAAGCCGUUGGUCUUGCCAACUCCUCCCACCCCCAAUCUCGCGGACUUCCGAGGUCAGAAAUCCGACCUCGCUUAUGAGAUCCAAGCCCACCAGGAGAAGUAUCUGCAGUGGCGGAACGCCAUGGUGCUAAAGAACAGAGGCCAGGAGCGCAGCCUGAUCCAGGUGGGCACUCUCUCCUCCCCGGGUCAGGGGUCCCAGGCCUUCGCCCCACCUGGGCUGUCCAGUCACCACGGGGAUACAGGGCAGAGGACCAGUUCCUGUACCUACUCUCCUGGGAUCCCAGGCAGGUUGCAUAAGAGGUGCCGGGUUGGGGGCUGAACCAGGUCAGAAGUGUUCACUCCCAGCUGUCAGGUGCCCAUCGUUCCUGAAAGUGAAAAGGAACGCUCUUAGGUGUUGUCACCUUUACCUUGGCCCCGGAGUUCACCUUGAAGGCUGGGCGCUAAGGAAAAUCUCCCUCCCUCCACAGCCACCACGAAGGCUUAAAACACUGACAUCCAAGGUGUGACUUGAACUUGUCCGCCCAUGGUCUGUGUGAAGCACCUCCCUCCCCCCAAUCUCCAGGGAGAGAAAAGUUCAGAAAGAAGUUUGUGAGCUUUGCAAGUGGAUAUUGUUUAUGAAAACCAGCAAAGAGGUUGUUUUCCCAUUUGUGUUGAGGUUUUUGGUUUUUCAAAAGAACCAGUUCUUGGAUUCAUCAAUCUGCUUUUUCUCUGGUCUGUUUUCUAAUUAAUGUCAGCUUUUAUCUUUUAUCAUCUUUUAAAACUUUUUCUCUUCUUUCUAGCUUCUUUAAAUUUUAUUAUUGAAGUAUAAUUGGCAUAUCGUUAGUAAGUGUAGUCACCAUCUGUCACCAAAAAACAUUAUUACAGUACUAUUGACCAUAUUCCCCAUGUCGUAAUUUGAAUCUCUGUGGCUUAUUUAUUUUAUAAUUGGACAUUUGUACCUCUUAAUCCCUUUUAUCUAUUUCACCCAUCCCUCCACUCACAUCCCCUCUGGAAACUACCAGUUUGUUUUCUGUUUUUAAGAGUCUAUUUGUUUUUUGUUUGUUUGUUCAUUUGCUUUAUUUUUAGACUCUACAUAUAAGAGAAAUCAUACGGUAUUCGUCUUUCUCUGACUUACUGUACUUAGCAUUAUAUUCUCUAACCCCAUCCAUGUUAUUGCAAAUGGCAAGAUCUCAUUCUUUUUUUAUGGCUGAGUAAUAUCCCAUUGUACAUAUAUACCACAUCUCCUUAUCCAUUAAUCAGUUGAUGGACACUUGGGCUGUUUCCCCAUCUUGGCUAUUGUAAAUACUGCUGCAGUCAACAUAGAUGUGCAUGUAUCUUUUCAAAUUAGUGUUUUCAUUUUCUUUGAGUAAAUACCCAGUAGUGGAAUUACUGGAUCAUAUGGUAGUCAUAUUUUUAAUUUUCUGAGGCACCUCCAUACUGUUUUCCACAGUUGCUGCACCUUUCUAGCUUCUUGAGUUGACUAUUUCAUUCAUUUUUAUUCUUCCUUAUUUAAUAAGAAAGGCUACACAUUUUCCUCUGUACACAUCCUUGGCCACAUUCUGUAAAGUGUUACAUGUAUUGUAUGUUGCGAUUGUUAUUUGCCUGAAAUGUCUUAGAAAUUUCAGAACAAAACAAGACCUAGAUACAGUCCUAGAAAAAAGUCAAACCACUGAGACUAUGAGCAGUCUUCUCUGACCCCCUUAUUCUACCUUCUCAAUGCACUUACACAGGUACACACUUGUGCACACAUGCAUUCAAGUACACAAAUGUAUCACAUUCAUUUAUGGGUUAACACUGUUUUGUUAAUGGCAUUUAACACAGGGCCUUGAAGAUUUUAUAAAAAUAUGCCUGUACAGAAUUUUGUAAUAUGUUUGUACAAUUAAUAUCUUCCUAUCAUCUGUAUUUUAUUGAAACCACUUGGAAAUAUUGUUUCUAUUAUCUUAGUUAUUGCUAAUUUCACAUGGCCUUAAGUAGCUUAUCCAUGCUAUAAUCAACCAUUGAAACCCAGCCAUAACUUAAUUUUUCUAUUUUUACUCUAAGAUAUAAUUUACAUACCAUAAAAUUUAAUCAUUGUAAGUGUAUAUAAAUCAGUAAUUUUUAAGCAAAUUUGUGGAGUUGUGUACAACACAAUCCAGUUUUAGAACAUUUCCAUACCCAUAAAAUUUUUCCCUAUUGCGUUUGAAGUCAAUCCCUGUUACCACCUCCAGCCCCAGGUAACCACUGAUCUACUUUUUGUCUCUACAGAUUUGCCUUUUCUAGACAUUUCAUGUAAAUGGAAUCAGACAACACGUGACCUUUUGUGUCUGGCUUCUUUCACUGAGUAUAAUCUGAGGUUCAUCCAUGUCUCAGAAUGUAUCAAUAGUUCCUUUUUAAAAUUGAUGAAUAGUAUUCCAUUGAUUGGAUGUAUCACAUUGAAAGUUUUGUUUAAUGUGUAUUUAUUUAUUUUGAGAGAGAGACAGAGCGAGCAGGGAGGGGCAGAGAGAGAGAGAGAGAGACAGAAUCCCAAGCAGGCUCUGUGCUGUCAGCGUGAAGUCUGAUGCGGGGCUUGAACUCACGAACUGUGAGAUCAUGACCUGACCCCAAAUCAAGAGUCAGAUGCUUAACCAACUGAGUCACCCAGGCACCCAUGGGUGUAUCACAUGUUUACUUAUUCAUUCCCCACUUGGUGAAAUUUGUAUUGUUUCUAGUUUGGGACUCUUAUGAAUAUCGCUGGUUUGAAUAUUUGCAUACAGAUCAUUAUGUGAAAAUGUAUUUUCAUUUCUCUCAAGUAGAAACCUAGAUAGAGAAUUGCUGGGUCAUGUGGUAAAUUUAACAUUUUAAGACAUUUUCAAGCAGUUUGACAAUGAAGUUGUACCAUUUUACACCACAAAAAGCACUCCAAGAGUUGGUUUCUCCACAUCCUCGCAAACACUUGUUACUGUCAGUCUUUUUUCAUUUAUUUAUUUAUUUAUUUAUUUAUUUAUUUAUUUAUUUAUUUAUUUUGUGAUUUAUUUAUUUUGAGAGAGAGCGAGGGCAUGAGCUAGAGAGGGGCAGAGAGAGAGAGAGAGAGAGAGAGAGAGAGAGAGAGAGAGAGAGAAAGAGAGAGAGAGAAUGCAAAGCAGGCUCCACAGUGCCAGUGUGGAGCCUGAUGCCAGGUCAAAUUGAAUCCAUGAACCGUGCGAUCAUGACCUGAGCUGAAAUCAAGAGUCAGACGCUUAACCAACUGAGCCACCCAGAUACCUGUUGGAUAUCUCUUAAUGUACUUAUUAAUGAUUUAUAUAUCUCUGGUAACUAUUCAUAUAUUUUACAUGUUUUAAAAUCAGGUUGUUUUCUUGUUGAAUUGUAAGAGAUCUUUAUUUUGGAUAUAGUUGCUUAAUCAGAACUAUGAUUUGCAAAUAUUUUCUCUGUAUAUGUGGCUUGUCUCUUUCUUAAUUGUGGUAGGAAAAACUCUUGACGUAUAAAGGCUUUUAAUGUUGAUGAAUUCCAGUUUAUCAGUGUCUUUGUCUUAUUGAUCAUGCUUUUGGUGACAUAGCUCAGGGCUCUGCUUAACCCAAGCUCACAAAGAUUUUCUCCUGUGCUGCCUUCUAGGGGAUUUGGAGUUUUGGCUUACUUUUAGACUUUAAAGCAUCUUCACCAAUUUUUUGUGUGCAUGCAUAAUGGAAGGUAAAGGUCUAAAUUCAUCUUUUUUGCAUGUGGAUAUCCAAUCGUUUUAGCACCGCUUUUCAAAAAGAUGAACUAUCCCCGCACCGUCCCUAAGAAUCCAUUGAUGAGAAAUGCAAAGGUUUAUUUCUAGGCUCUGUUAUACUCCAUUGACUUAGAUGCCUGUCCUUACACGAGCCCCACAUUAUCUUGAUUACUAUAGCUUUACAGGCAGUUUUGAAAAUGGGUUGUAUAAAGUCUUUUAACUUCUUUUUCAAAAUUGUUAGACUAUUUUGGGUCCUUUGCAUUUCUAUAUAAUUUUAGGAUCACCUUGCCAAUUUAUUAAAAAAAAAAAACAAUUUUAGGAUCACCUUGCCAAUUUAUUAAAAAAAAAAAAAAACAACUUGUGGGGAUUUUCCUGAGGCUUAUAUUGAAUAUGUAGAUCAGUUUCGGGGAGAAUUGCCAUAUUGAUAGUUUUGAGGCUUGUAAUUCAUGAACAUGGAACGUCUAGACUUCUUUUGGGUCUUCUGUAAUAUCCUUCAGUAAGCUCUGUAGCUGUCACACACAGGCCUUACACCUGAUUAAAUCUUUGCUGUUGUGAGCUGAAUUCUUUAAUUUUUGAAUUGUUGCAAUAACAGAAAUACAGUUGGCUUCUGUAUAUUGAUUUCGUAUCCUGAAAUCUUUGGAAACUGGAUCAUGUCAUCCCUGGAUAAAGAUCUCUUUACUUCUUCCUUCCCAAGCUGGAUACCCUUCCUUCCUGCAUUAGUCUAUGCAGAUUGUCAUACAGAGCACAACGGUCGGGUGGCUUAAAUGUCAGAAAGUGCUUUUCUCACAGUCCUGGGGGGUGGGAAGUCAGGAUCAAUAUGCUGGUAGAGUGGAUCUCAUUCUGAGGCCUCUUCUCUUGGCUUAUAGGUGGCUGCAUCUCACUGUGUGCUCUUUUCUUUUUUUCUUUAAUGUUUAUUUACUUUUGAGAGAGAGAGAGAGAGAGAGAGAGACAGAGCAUGAGCAGGGCAGGGGCAGAGAGAGAGAGGGAGACACAGAAUCCAAAGCAGGCUCCAGGCUCCGAGCUGUCAGCACAGAGCCUGACGCAGGGCUUGAACUCAGGAACCAUGAGAUCACAACCUGAGCUGAAGUCGGACGCUCAACUGACUGAGCCACCCAGGGGCCCCUCUCUGUGGCUCUUCUUUGGCGUGGGGAGAAAGACAGUGGGCUCCCUGGCUCCUCCUCUCAUAAGGACAUUAAUCCUGUCAGAUCAGAGUCCCCCCACUCUUACUCAUCUAACCGUAAUUACUUCCUUACCCAAAUACAGCCACAUUGGGGAUUAGGGAUUCAAUGCAUGAAUGGGGUGUCGGGGGGGGGGCUUUCAUUCUAUAAUCCUCCCUUCGCUUCUGUUUGUACUGCCUACAACCUGUAGUAUAAAGAUCAGUGUCAAAUAGGAGCGGUAAGAGCAGACAUGCUUGUUUUCUUCCUGAUCUUGGGGAAAGCAAUCUUUGACCAUGGAGUUGGAUGUUAACUACAGGUUUGGGGUACGCUUUAUGAGGUUGAGGAAGUUUCCUUGUAGUCUUAGUGUGUUGAGAGUUUUCAUCAUGAAUAAAUGUUGGAUUCUGUCAAAUGCCUUCUUCCCCCUGCACAUAUUGUGGUUCUUGUCUUUUAUUCAUAUGGUGUAUGACGUUACUUGAUGUUUGGACGUUAAAACAUCCUUUCAUUCCUGGAAUACAUCCCACUUGAUCAUGGUGCAUGGCUUUUUAUCUAUGUGUUUCUGAAUUUAGUUUGCUAAUAUUUUGUAUUUUUCUUGUGAUAGCUUUGUCUCACCUUGGUACCCAUGGAAUACUGGCCCUGUAAAAUGAGUUGGUGUUUCCUCCCCUUCUGUAUUCUGGAAACAAGUGAACUGUUGGUAUUCAUUCUCUCAUUGUUUGGUAGAAUGAACCAGUGACUCCGUCCAAGCCUGAGCUUUCCUUGGUGGGUAAAAGGCUGAUUUGAUCUCUUUAUUUGUUAUAAGUCUAUUCAGAUAUCUCUUUCUUAAGACAGGUUUGAUAACUUGUGUCUUUCCAGGAAUUUAUCCAUUAGAUGUAAGCCCUCCAGUUUGCUCUCCUAUACUUGUUCAUAGUACUCUCCUAUAAUCCUUUAAAUUUCUGUAAAGUCAGUAGAAUGUCUCCUCUAUCACUCCUGAUUUUACUAAUUUGUACGUUUUUCUUUCUUGGUCAUUCUAGCUAAAGAUUUGCCAAUGUUGGUGAUCUUUUUGAAGAACCAUUUUUGAAAAAACAGGAACAGCAGGAAGACCAUUUUUUUUUUAAUGUUUAUUUUUGAGAGAGAGAGCGUGAGCAGGGGAGGAGCAGAGAGAGAGAGAAGGAGACACAGAAUCCAAGCAGGCUCCAGGUUCUGGGCCAUCAGCACAGAGCCUGACACAGGGUUUGAACUCACGAACUGUGAGAUCAUGACCUGAGCCGAAGUCAGAUGCUUAACCAACUGAGCCACCCAGGCGCCCCUGAAAAAACAUUUUUGGAAUUUGUUCAUUUUCUCUAUUUUUCUAUUUCAUGUUUUUCUACUCUAAACUGUAUUAUGAUUUCUUCCUUCUGCUUAUUUGGAUUCAUUUUGUGAUUCUAGUUUUUUUUUUUUAAAUUUUAAUGUUUAUUUUUGAUUUUUUUUUUUCAACGUUUUUUAUUUAUUUUUGGGACAGAGAGAGACGAGCAUGAACGGGGGAGGGGCAGAGAGAGAGGGAGACACAGAGUCGGAAACAGGCUCCAGGCUCUGAGCCAUCAGCCCAGAGCCCGACGCGGGGCUCGAACUCACGGACCGCGAGAUCGUGACCUGGCUGAAGUCGGACGCUUAACCGACUGCGCCACCCAGGCGCCCCUAAUGUUUAUUUUUGAAAGAGAGAAAGAGCACGAGAGGGGGAAGGGCAGAAAGAGAAGGAGACAGAGGAUCCAAAGCAGGCUCCAGGCUCCAAGCUGUUAGCACAGAACCUGAUGUGGCGCUUGAACCCACAAACUGUGAGAUCAUGACCUGAGCUGACGUUGGACAGUUAACCGACUGAGCCACCCAGGCGCCCCUGUGACUCUAGUUUCUUAAGGAGUAAAGUCAGGUUUUUGAUUUGGAUCUUUUUUUAUGCAUGUGUUUCCAGCUACAAAUUUCCCCCUAAACUCUACAUUAGAUGCAUCCCAUAAACUUAGUAUGUAGUAUUUUCAUUUCAUUCACCAAAAAAUAUUUUAUAAUUUCCAUUGUGGCUUUUAGAAAUUUCGAAUUUAAUUCCGUUGUGACUAGGGAAUGUACUUUGUAUGAUUUCUAUUGAAUGAAAUUUAUUACAAUUUGUUUUAUGGCCUAGAUACAUCCUCAGGCUUGAAAGGAAUAUAUGCUUUUCUGACAUUGGGAGGAAUGUUGUAUAAAUGGCAGGAUGAUAAGCUGGCAAUAGUGUUGUUCAGGUCUUCUGUGUCAUUGAUUUUCCUUUCUCAGGUUCAAUGAUUGGAUUGAGGUAUUGAAGUCUCUAUUGAUGGUCGAAUUGUCUAUUUCUCCUGUCAAUUCUGUUUAAUUUUUCUUACUGUCUUUUGGGGCUCUGUUGUUAGGCGUGUUUGUGUUUAUAAUUAUAUCUUCUUGAUGAACUGACACUUUAAUCAUUAUGAAAUAUCUCUUUUGUUUCUAAUAACAUGUCUUGUCUAAAACAUCAUUUUGUCUUAUAUUAAUGUACUCACACCAGCUCUUUUCUGGUUUGCAUACUAUAUAUUUUUCCACCCCUUUGACUUUCAAACUGUGCCUUUACAUCUAAUAUGUGUGUUCUGUAGACAGCAGAUAUCUGCAUCCUUUUUUUAAAGUCCAGUCUGACAAUCUUUGCUGUUUGUCCAUUUAUGAGUAAUAUAAUUUUUGAUAUGGUUCGAUUUAUGUCAUUUUUUAUAUAUUUAAUAUUAAUUUCGAUUCUCUGUUGUUCCUUUACUGCCUCCUUUUGUGUUUAACAGAUAUAAAGUUGUACCACUUUAAUUCCUUCAUGGAUUUUUUUCUUAAAAAAAUGAUUUCCUAGUGGUUUCUCUAGGAUUCAUCUAUAAUAUGCAUCUUCAGCACAAUCUACUUCAGAUUAUCACUAGCUUUAUUUGGGUAAAUGGAGAAACUGUUCUGCUAUAUAGCUGUUUCCUCCCCCUCCUUUAUUUUAUUAUUGUUAUAUCUAUAUAUGCAGUAAUCCCCAAAUAUGGUGUUAUUAUUGUUUUAUGCAGUCAGGUCUUUUAAAAGUUGAGAGAAGGAAAAAUGUAUAUAAUAUUUUAUAUUUACCACAUAUUUAUCUUUUCCAGUGAUUUUUCAAACAUUUAUUUUUGAGGGGGGAGGGGCAGAGAGAAGGCAGAGGAUCCAAAAUGGGCUCUGCACUGGCAGAAGAGAGCCCAAGGAGGGGCUCAAACUCAUGGGCUGUGAGAUCAUGACUUGAGCCAAAGUCAGACGCUCAACUGACUGAGCCAUCCAGGUACCCCUUCCAGUGAUUUUUUAAAUGUAAAUUCUAGUUACCAUCUGCUGUCAUUUAUUCUCAGCUUUAAAGGAUCUCCUUUAGUAUAUUUGAUAAUUUGCAGGUUACUACCAACAAAUUCUACCUUUAUCAGAGGAUAUCUUUAUUGACCUUCGAUUUUGAAAGAUGGUUUUUGCGGGACACAGAAUUCAUGGUAUAUUUACCAAGAACUUUUUUUUCUUUCCAGCACUUUGAAAAUGUUAUUACAUUGUGUCUCUGUUGUUUCUGUUGAUGUUUAGCCAUUAAAUCGUAUUUCCUUGUACAUGAUGAGUCAUGAGUCAUUUUUUUUUCCUUGCUGUUUCUAAGAUUUUUAUCAUUGUAUUUUUCUUUCAGCUGUUUGACUCUAAUAUGUACAGGUGUAGAUCUCUCUAUAUUUAUCCUACUUGGGGUUUAUUGAGCUUCCCUAGAUCAGUAGAUUAAUGUUUCGGGUCUUUAGUUCUUCAAUACUUUUUGCGGCUUCUUCCUCUCUCCCCACCCUCCCUUCUCAGACUUCCAUUAUGUGCAUGUUGGUUCACUUAUUAAUAUCCCAUACGUCUUGAGGCACUAUUAAUUUAAAAAAAAUAUUCUUUUGGGGCACCUGGGUGGCUCAAUCAGUUAUGCGUCUGAUUUUGGCUCAGGUCAUAAUCUCGCAGUUUGUGAGUUCGAGCCCCAUGUCGGGCUCUGUGCUGACAGCUCAGAGCCUAGAACCUGCUUUGGAUUCUGUGUCUCCCUCUCUCUCUGCCCCUCCCCUGCUCACACACACUCUCUCUCUCUCUCUCUGUCUCUCAAAAAUAAACAAAUGCAAAAAAAAUAUUCUUUUGUUUCUGUUCCUCAGCUUGGAUAAUCUCUGUCUUUGGGUUCAGAUUCUUUGUCUGCUUAAAUCUGUUGUGUCCCUCUAGUGCAUUUUUCAUUUCAGUUACUGUACGAUAUAACUGCAGAGUCUUCCUGUAGCUUUUUUUAAUUCAGAUUGGCUAUGUCUUUUUUUUUAAUGUUUAUUUAUUUACUGAGAGAGGGACACAGAGUGUGAGCAAAGGAGGAGCAGAGAGAGAGGGAGACACAGAAUCCGAAGCAAGCUCCAGGCUCUGAGCUGUCAAUACAGAGCCCAAAGUGGGGCUCGGACUCACGAGCUGUGAGAUCAUGACCUGAGCUGAAAUCUGAUGCUCAACCAACUGAGCCACCUAGUCACCCCUCAGAUUGUGUAUUUCUUGACUUGGGGUAUACUUUCUUUAAGUUUUUGAAAUAAUUUUAAGUUUUUUUUUUUUUUUUUGUAGUAAUAGCCACAUCGAAAUCUUUGCUAAAGUCAACCAGCUGGACCUACUGGACGGUUUCUAGUGACUACUUUAUUUUCCUGAAUAAGGUUUACAAUUUACUAUUUCUUUACAUGUCUCCUAAGUUUUGGUUGAAAACUGGACAUCUAAGAGGCAACUGGGUGGCUCAGUUGGUAAAUCUGACUUUGGCUCAGGUCAUGAUCUUGCUGUUUGUGAGUUCAAGCUCUGUACUGACAGCUUGGAGCCUGGAGCCUGCUUCAGAUUCUGUGUCUCCCUGUCUCUCUGCCCCUCCCCUGCUUGCACUCUGUCUCUUUCUCAAAAAUAAGUAAACAUUAAAAAAACAAAGAAAGAAAACUGUACAUUUAAAAUGCAUUGCAGUAGGGGCGCCUGGGUGGCUCAGUUGGGGGACUCUUGAUUUCAGCUCAGGUCAUGAUCUCUUGGUUGGUGGGAUCGAGCCCCACCUUGGGCUCUGAGCUGACAACAUGGGGCCUGCUUGGAAUUCUCUCUCUCUGCCCCUCCCCUGCUCUCUCUCUCACAUCUCCUCUGCUGGUGCAGGUAGGCAGGCAGCAAGCGAUGUAUGAAGAGCAUAUCAAGGUGGCUAUUUCAUUUCCUGUGUCUCCCCGUUAAUUAGUUUGCUUGCCUGUUGCUUGCGCCAGGUAGGACAGCAACUCAGGUCUGCUGAGCAGCUCGCCUGCUCUGUUGGUUUGCUGCUGAGAUUGCUGUCGUUGCUUAUAAUUGGCCCUGCCCGUGGGCUUUGCAAGCUGCAGUGCAGAUCAAGUAAGUGUGCACUCAAGUGGGCAGUGCAGCCGGUGAUCUUCCUGACUCGCACACCCUCGGAGAACUACUCGAAGUGCCGGGGAUGGCAGGAAUGACGUUGACUCUUCCUGUUCUUACCUGAAGUUGAGCACAUUUCCGUGAAUAAAGACUUCGAAGUUUUUUUGUAUGCCUUUGGACAAUUUCCAGUGGUUGCUUUUGACGGUUUUGUCCAGUUUUAUUGUUUUUUGACGGAAGGAUUGGACUCCUUACUCCACCGUACUACAAGUCCUGUCUUCCUCCUAGCCAACUUCAAAUUUUUACUUAUUUCUAUUCUUGCAGUGAUGUGUGCGUGUCGUGUCUACUUAAUCCUUUGCUUUACUAUUUUUUUUUUCUUUCAGAAAGUUUUUGUAGAUAAUGAACUUUCAGGGUGCUUGCAGGUCCAUGGUUAUCAUUGUCUUUGCACUUGAAUAGCACCUGAACUGUUUUUGAGAUUAUGCUUUCAAAUCCCUGCACGCAGCCUCCCCCCCACCACCCACCAAACCCAUUGCUUUCUAAAAUCAAGAAUUGCGGGUAAGUCUGAUACCCACCUGAUCCUUUUUCCUUUUUAACUAGACUGUCAUCUCCUCUGGAAUCUUUUAAAACUUUCCCUUAAUCCUUAGUGUUCACCUUGGUGUCGAGGUGGGAGCUUUUUGUUUUUCACUGAAGCUUGAAGGGCUUUCCUCCAUUUUGUUUGCCCUCUUAAUUUGUACUUGUUGGUAUUUAAGGUUUUUUUGAUAUUUAUUUUUGAGAGAGAGAGAGACAGAGAGUACUAGUGGGGUAGGGGCAGAGAGAGAGGGGGAGACAGAAUCUGAAACAGGCUCCAGGCUCUGAUCUGUCAGCACAGAGCCUGAUGUGGGGCUCAAACUCACCAACUGUGAGAUCAUGACCUGAGCCAAAGUUGGACAUUCAACCGCCUGAGACACCCAGGUGCAACCCCCCUUUUUUUUCUUUAAAUUUUUUUUAAUGUUUAUUUAUUUUUGAGAGAGACAGAGCACAAGUGGGGGAGGGGCAGAGAGAGGAGGAGACACAGAAUCCGAAGCAGGCUCCAGGCUCUGAGCUGUCAGCCCAGAGCCCAACGUGGGGCUCAAACCCACGAACCGUGAGAUCAUGACCUGAGCCGAAGUCGGAUGCUUAACCGACAGAGUCACCCAGGCACCCUUCUAAAAAGAUUUACAUUUUUGUUCAUCAUAUUUACAUUUUGGAUCUAUCAGGAAUGUAUUUUUUGUAUGAGGGUAGGACUCUAAUUUCAUUUCUUCCACAUGAUCAAUGGUACCAGCGCUUUGCUUAAAUGCCCAUCCCUUCCCAAAUGAUUUAUGUUGCCUAUUCUGUCAGAUCAAGUUGCUUUUCAUACAUGAGUUUGUUUAUGGGAGAUUGAGAUCUUUAUUGAAAUUGCAUUUACGAAUGCAUUAUUUUCUUCAAAGAACCAGUGUCUCUGUUGUUUUUUGAUUCCAUAUUGUAUACUUACUUCCUAUUGAUUUCUGCUCUUAUUCCUUCUUCUUACUUUCUAUGGCUUGAAUUUGCUCUGCUUUUUCUGAUUUCUUCAGAUGGAUAUUUUGGUUAUUUUCAGAUAUGCAUCAUUUUAUUAUCUUAGUGUAUUUAUCUUGGCUAAAAAUUUCCUAUGAACAUCAAGUGCAUCCCCAUUUUUAUACAUUGUAUUUUCAUGACUCAGUUAAAAAUGUUUUCUACUAUCCAUUUUCAUUUUUUGUUUGAUCAGUGGAUUAGCUAAUAGUAUAUUCUGUAAUUUCCAAAUACUUUGGGCUUUUUGUUACCUCUGUUUGUUUUUCAGUUCUAUGCACUGCUGUCGGAGAAUAUAUUCUGUAUAAUUUCUAUCCUUUGUUGAUAUUUUACAAUCCAGAAAAGGUCAGUUUUGGAAAGUGUUCCAGAGUAUUUGAGAAAAAAAAAAUAUAUCCUGCAGUUGUUGACAGUGUUCCAAAUACAUCAACUUUGCUUUGUUUUUCAAACCUCUAUCCUGAUCUUUAAAUUCUGUUUCUUCUCUCAGUUACUAGGGAAAGUCUGUUAAAAUCUCCAAAUGAGAUUAUGGAUUUGUUUCUUCUCUCCUGGCUUUGCUUAUUAUAUUUGCUCGCUUAUGUUUUAGAUAUAUACAAAUUUAAGACUGCUUUAUCCUGUUGAUUUGAUUUUUGUAAAUAUGAUAAGACUCUUUGUCUCUGGUAAUACUUUUUAGAGCAAAUACCGUAAAAUGCAUAUAUCUUAAGUAUAUAGCCUCAUUCAUUUCCAUCUAUGCACAUACCUGUGAAACCAUUACACAGAUCAAGGGGUAGAAGGUUUCUGUCACCCCAAAAAGUACCAUGCUCCUUCCCAAUUAACUACUAUCUUGAAUUCUGUCAUCAUGGAAUAGGUUUGCUUGCUAUUUGUUGGACCUUAUAUAAUGGAACCAUACAGCAUGCAUCCUCACACUGGCUUCUUUUGCUACACAAAUAUAUUUAUAAAGAUUUGUAUUAUUACGUAUUUGUUGCUGUGCAGUUUUCCAUUAUGUGUAUGCCACAAUUAUUUGUUCUCCUGCUGAUUUCCAUUUGUGUUGUUUUCCAGGGUAUUUUGGGGGAGGCUAUUAUGGCUAAAGUUGCUAUGGUGUUUUUGUACAGAUCCUCUUUGUUGGACCCAUCUACUCAUCCCUUUGGGCAUAUACCCUAGGAGUAAACUUACUGGGUCAUAGCGCAGGCAUGUGUUUAACUUUUAACUGCCACGUUUCCAAAGUGGUUGUGCCAUUUCACACUUCUGCCAGCAAAUACAGGAGUGUAGCUUUCCAUCUGUGCUGCAGUGUUGCAGACACUUGAAUUUGUCCAUCUUUAUAGUCCUACCCACUCUGGUGAGGUUUACUGGUAUUACAUUUUAAUUCUGAUGUGCCUUUCCCUGAUGAAUAAUAAUACUGAGCACCUAUUUUCACCUACUGUUGGCUAUUUGUAUAUUUUCUUUUGUGAGGCGCCUGUUCAAAUGCAGUUUUUCCUCCAGCUCAUCUGGAUCUUGCUUUUUUUUUUUAAAAUCCAGAUAAGCUAUGAGUUACAUGCAUUACAAGUAUCUGCAUGCGUGGCUUGCCUUUGCAUUGUUUCAGUGUCCUAUUUUGAGGAGACGUGUUUCAAUUAGUUCCAUUUAUCAUGGUUCUCUGGUUAAUUUUGGGGGGACAUUUUUCUUGGCAGAAUGCUAGCUUGGCAGUUAUUUUCACACUUUAAAGCUGUCUGUUUUGCUCUUUUUUAAGAUACUGUCCUCUCCUGGUUGCAUGUAACAUUGUUCUCCUUUUUUCUUCUUUAAAAAUUUUUUAGUGUUUAUUUUUGAGAGCGAGAGUGAGCGCAUGAGCAGGGGAGGGGCAGAAAGAGAGGGAGACACAGAAUCCAAAGCAGGCUCCAGGCUCUGGACUGACAGCAAAGAGCCCAAAACGGGGCUCGAACCCACCAGCUCUGAGAUCAUGACCUGAGCCAAAGUCGGAUGCUCAACCGACUGAGCCACCCAGCUGCCCCAAAAUUGUUCUCCUUUUCCUUUUGUUUUACUAUGAUGCUCCUAGGUGUAUUUUUCUUUGUAUUUAUCUUGCUAUGGGUUUGUAGAGCUGAUUGAAUCUGUGGCUUGAUAUCUUUACAUUUAAAAAAAAUCUAGACCCAGUAUUUCUUUUCAAAAAUACUUCUGUUCUAGUCAAGUUCUCUCUCCCUGUCCUCCUGGGAUUCUAAUGACAAGUUAGAUAUUUUCACUAUGACUUACAUCUUAUAUUACUUAUAUAUCUCAUGCUUUUAUUUUUCCGUGUUUUAGUGGGUGUUCUUCAAUCUGGAUAUUUUUUUAAAUGUUUAUUUUUGAGAGAGAGCAUGAACAGGUGAGGGAUGGGGGAGGGGAGAAACAGAGGAUCUGAAGUGGGCUCUGUACUGAGAGCAGAGAGCCCAAUGUGGGGCUCGAACCCAUGAACCAUAAGAUCAUGACCCUUGCCAAAGUAGGACACUCAACUGACUGAGCCACCCAGGCGUCUUCAAUUUAUACCAUACGGUAGUAUACAGUACAAAUUUUAACUAAUCUAUCUUAACUCAUUGAUCUCUUCUGCUGGAUGUUCAUUCUGCUGUUAAACCCAUCCAGUGAAUUAUAAUUUUAAUGAUUUAAAAAAUUUUAAGAUUUCCAUUUGAUUCUUCUAUGGAUUCCAGAUAUCUAGUUCAAUUCUCCACCUUUUCAUUUAGCUUAUUAUAUUAAUCAUAAUUCCAAUAUCUGGAUUAUCUUGGGUUUCUUUCUAUUACCUGCCUUUUCUCUUCGUUUUCCUAUUUGGUCCUGUGUCUUGGCAUGUCUCUUAGUUUUUUAAACUUGAGACAUAACCGACAUGUUCUAUUCGUUUCAGGUAUACAACACAAUGAUUCAAUAUUUGUGUAUAUUGUGAAAUGAUCCCCAUGGUAAGUCCAGUUAACAGCCAUCACCACAUAUAGCAAUUUUCUUUUCCUUAGGAAAACUCUUAAGAUCUACUUUCUUAGUAACUUUCAUAUACAAUGCAGUACUAUUAACUGUAGUCACCAUGCUAUCUAUAUAUCACGUCCCCAUGAUUUACUUACUGUAUGAUUAAGAGUUUGUACCCUUUGACCAUUUAUUAAUUUCACCAACCCCCUACCUCUAGCAACCACCAAUGUGUUGUGUAUUUAUGAAUUCGUGUUUUUGUUCAUUUUAGAUUCCACAAGUGAGGUUUCUCAGUCUUAUUUCAUGUAGCAUAAUGCCCUCAAGUCCUAUCCAUGUUGUCACAGAAGGCAUGAUUUCCUUCUAUUUUAUGGCUGAGUAAUAUUGCAUUGUGUAACACACACACACACACACACACACACACACACACCCCACUCCACAUCUUUGUCCACUCAUCCAUGGAUAGACACAGGCUGCUUCCACGUCUUGGCUAUCAUAAAUGCUGCAGUGAACAUGGAGGUCCAUAUAUCUUCUUCAGUUAGUGUUUUCAUUUCCUUCAGAUAAAUACCCAGUAAUGGAAUUGCUGGAUCAUAUGGUAGUUCCAUUAUUAAUUUUUUGAGGAACUUCCAUACUAUUUUCCAUAGCCGCUGCACCAAUUUACAUUCCUACCAAGGGUACACAAGGGGUCCAUUUUCUCCACACCCUUGUCAACACUGGUUAUUUCUUGUCUUUUAAAUAAUAGUCAUUAAAACGUGUGGGGUGGUUUUGAUUUCCAUAUUCCUGAUGGUUAGUGAUGUUAAGCAUUUUUUUAUUUACCUGUUGGCCAUUUGUGUAUCUUUUCUGGAAAAAUGUUUAUUCAGAUCUUCUGCCCAUUUUUAAUCAGGUGUGUUUUGUUGUUUUUGGUUGUUGCUAUUGAGUUAUAGGAGUUCUUUAUUUAGUUUAGGUAUUAAGCCCCUUAUUGGUUGUGUCACUUGCAAAUGCCUUCUCCCAUUCAGUAGGUUGCCUUUUCAUCUUGCUGAUGGUCUUCUUUGCUGUGCAGAAGCUUUCUAGUUUGAUGUAGUCCCACUUGUUUAUUUUUGCUUUUGUCAAAUCCAAAAAAAUCAUUGCUAAGACGGAUGUCAAGAGUUAACUGCCUAUUUUUUCUUCCAGGAUUUUUAUGGUUUCAGGUCUUAGAUCCAAGUCUUUAAUGCAUUUUGAAUUGAUUUUUGUGUAUGGUGUGAACUGUGGUCCCUUUUUUUUUUUUUGCAUGCAGCUGUCCUAUUUUCCCAGCACCACUUAUCGAAAAGACCAUUCUUUCCAUUGUAUAUUACUGGCUCCUUUAUUAUAAAUGGACUAUAUAUGUGUGGUUUAUUUCUGGGCUCUGUUCUGUUCCAUUGGACUUUGUGUCUAUUUUUAUGGCAAUACCAUACUGUUUUGAUUACAAUAGUUGUGUGAUAUAGUUGAAUCAGGAAAUGAGAUUGCUUGGGCUCUUUGGGGUCUUUUGUGGUUUGGUAAAAAUUUUAGAAUUGUUCUAUUUCUGUGAAAAAUGCCAUUCAAAUUUUUAUAGGGAUUGUAUUGAAUUGGUAGAUUGCCUUGGGGUGUUUCCUUAAAUGGUGAACACUGUAUAGGAAAAACUGUAUCUUCCUACAGAGAGGAUUUAAUUUUCUUCUAGCAGGCCAAUGAAGGACAAAUUCCCCUAAAAAGGCUUAUCCCUUGUUUGCAUUUAUUUCUAAGCACAGAUUUUCUGAAUUUUUGACUAUAAGCUUAGGGUGUAAACAGGUGCCUUCCUCCUUGGGACACUCUGAAAUCCAGUUUUUGUUUCCCAGCAUGGUGACACUUUCCAAAAUACCUGCUGAACAUUGAACCUCUUAGCUGCUUUUUUUUUUUUUUAAAUGUCUUUUGUUUAUUUCUGAGACAGAGUAUGAGUGGGGGAGGGGUGGAGAGGGAGGGAGACACAGAAUCUGAAGCAGGCUCCAAGCCCUGAGCUGUCAGCACAGAGCCCAACGUGGGGGGUCGAACCCACGAACCAUGAGAUCAUGACCUGAGCUGAAGUCGGUCGCUCAACUGACUGAGCCACCCAGGCGCCCCGAACCUCUUGGCUGCUUUUUCUGCCUGGGUUCUUGUCUGCUCCAUUCAUCUCAUUCAUGAGCAAUUUAGGAAUCAGCAAAUAAAUACCUUGAGAGUAAACUGUGUAGGGUGGGUGGGGGAGGAUUCAAUGUUUUCUCCUUCUCUCCAGGUUCUUGGCCCCUCGAAUUCUGACUUCCUUGAUCACUAUCCAGUGAUGUCAAGCAGAUGUCCAUUUCUCUCUGCAGUCCUGUCAGUUGCUUAAUAAACUUUGAGGCUGUACUGUUAAGGGGCACAAAUGUUCAUGACAGUUAUACCUUCUUGCUCUGUUUCUCAAUAUACAAGGUCUUUUUGUGCCUCUUGAUAGAUUUUUAUCUUGAAUUAUGUGGUCCAGUCUUCCGAAUGCCACUCGUUUUUCUCGUCUUGGUUUUGUGGUUCCUUUUUGCCUAGUUUGUAUUCUUCCUCCCUUUAAUUGCAACCUGUAUCUUUUGGUCUAAAGCCAUUCUUUUUAAAAAGAUUUAUUUUGAAUUAAUCUCUACACCCAACAUGGGGUUUGAACUCAUGACCCUGGGAUCAAGAGUCAUAUAUGCUUUACUGACAGGGCCAGCCAGACACUCCUAAAGCAGUUCGUAUAGACAGCAUGUUAGCUUAAAAAAAAAAAAAAUUGAGUCUGAGAUUUGCCAGUUGGCAAACAAGCCAUUUACCGAGAGUAUUGUUAGAUUAGGCUUUUGAGGCUCGCUUUCUUUUAAAUUCUUCCUUUCUUUGGUUAGACCAAAGAUUUAAGAGUUACACAUUCUUGGUUUCUAAGGUGGCUGUCCUAAAGACCAUAUUCAUUUUUGUAAAUUCCUACUGAAUUCUGAAACUUUAUUAAAGUGUAUUCUGAGAUCGAGAGAGUGUGUGCAAAAGGGGAAGAGGCACACAGAGAAAAUCUCAAGCAGGCUGCGGCCUGUCAGCGCAGAGCCCAACACGGGGCUUGAACCCAUGAACUGUGAGAUCAUGCCCUGAGCAAAAAUCAAGAGUCGGACACGCAAAUGACUGAGCCACCCAGAGGCGGCCCCUGAAAAUUUUAUAUUAAUAUCCUUUUAUCUUUUCCUAUGCACACCUUACCAUCCCUUUUAUAUAUUAAGUCUCCAGAAUUUCAGUUCUAGGUUACUAUGCUUUUCUGGUCCUUUUUAGACAAGAAAACAUCACUUGGUACCUUUGUCCAAACUCUUGGGUUUUCCUCCUCCCUUUUGAAUUUUCUUCUGAGUGUAUUUUCAAAGUCUCUGCCUAAAUUCCCAGGCCUUGCACACCUGACUCACCUCAACUGAUGUACAGUCCUAGGUUCAAGUUCUCCACCUUGUUUCCUGCUCUUGUAGAAUCUGAGGUCAGUCUGGUACUUUUCCCUUCACAGGUGGCCUGCUGUCUCUUGGGGUCUCACACUUCAUGAACAGUGUGUCCAGGCUUGGAAGUUUCCUGAUCUAUUCUGAUGUUCCUGCUUUCUUAAAAGUUCCGAUUCCUGUUUCCCCCUUCCUUUUGGGGCUUCUGUUAUUCACACAUUUUGAGUUUGGUUCCCAUUCCCUAAACUCAGGCUUGCUGUCUGAGCCUGGAUUCCAGUUCACGAGUUCACUCUGCGGCGGCUCACUCGCCCGUGCCCCUGAUCUCAACUCUCGUGUUUUGCCCCCGAUAUUUGUUUCUUCCGUCUGCUGCUUUUAGGAUUGCAUGUACGAUAAAUUUUUAUCCCAUCCCUUCCAACAGCUUGGCUUCAGUUCAGUUUGUGCCUCUGGUCUUGGAUACCGGUCCUCCUCAGGCAUCUAGUUACUCUGGCUGAAGAGUCCAACUUUCCCUGCAGCCUCCACCCCCAGGGCAGAGAACGCCAGGCAUCCAGAAACACCGCUGACCACUGUUUUGACCUCACGUAAUCUCUUUUGGUUGGAACUUCAACCUCAAACUCCAGGAAGUAUCGUAAAAGGAAGAAGCGGUCUCCCUUAGGUCUGAGGACUUGCACUUUUAGUAACGCAGACUGACUCAUUCCGACCAACCCUCCCGCUGGAAAAACCGGACCAAAUACUCAGUGCUCUGACGAAGCCAUGUGUGUGCCACCACAGGGUCCUAGCUCAGAUGGCCCGUCUGGCACGGUCACCUGGAAGGUGCUCCAAGGCAAGAGUUUUGUCCCUCACCCGAUGACGUGUGGCCUGCCUUUGCCUUCAGUCCCUGUUGCUCUCAGCCAUGCGGGUCCUACCGCCUUGACCUUUCCUUCGUGUCUGAGUCACAGAUUUAUUUAAUCUUUCCCUUGGUUACUUUGCUUUCUCUUACAGAAACUGCUCAGAGACUAAGACACUGGGGCUUGGCCUGAAGUAGUGGUUAGUAUGUGAGUCAAGGUCACCAUCUUUGAUUAAGAAAAAAAAGUUCCUUCAAAGCAAAAGAUGGUGACUUUGCUGGAGGUGCACAGGCAAGUGAAGGGCAGGCUAUGGGUGCUGCACAGUACAGAGUGCAGCUUCCUCUUGGGGCCCCGCCACCUUUCCCUGCACUGUUGUUCUCUUUCCUCACUGCUGUUUUCAUUCACAAAGGGAGCUGACAAACCAUCGUGGGGCUCUGGAGAGAUGGGGACGCUCCCUAUGUAGUCAGCACUGAAAGGUGACCACGGGCAAGGAUGGUAUAUACCAUGAAAACCUGAAGCUUCUCCCACUUCUGGCCAUCUGAGCCACAAAUUCUCUCCGUGGCUGGGUGCUGUGUGUUCCAGUCACGUUGACCUUACUUACACCAAUCUCCUUUCUGGUCCCGAGUUCCACCCCGGACGGUGAGGCGUUGGACCCGAUGGCCCUCUGGCAGUGUUCUGGGAUGGAAUGGCCGCCCUCGUGCUCAGGAAGUGACACCUGAACCACAGCCACGUCCCAGGGGUCCGCUUGCUUCACACAAGCUGGCAGCUGGUGUCGAGGGGCCUGUGUGCGGGUUGUGACUCGUGUCUCUUUCUUCAGAAAAAUAUUGCCAGGGUCUACCAGGUCGGCAAGAAGCCUCCGAAGUCUGUGGUGAAGGUGAUCAGAAUCGCAGCGCCUGCCAAAGACGCGGUUUAUAACUACAGCAUCCAGACCCUGAAUUCCACACAGCUUGCCAAGAAGGAGCUGUAUCGAGAGAUGGCCAAGGUGAGAGGCCCAGAGAGGGAGGCAGUGGAUGCUUGCACUCCAGAGUAACAGCUAACCUGGUGAACCCUCUCCUCUUGUGACCGUGCUGCCUGGAGGUCAGCACUCUCCGACGUGCACAAGAGAGUCAACCAGUGAGGGGAAGGAGACGGGGGGGGGGGGGGGGGGGGGGGGGGGGCNNNNNNNNGGGGGGUCGCACCCCGGAGGGAGAGGUGUUCUGUUCCCAUGCUACACGUGAAUCCUCCACACGUGGGAGAGCCAAGCGAUCCUCAACACGUGCUCCAGGCACCUGUCUGCACACAAGUGUGGAGGUCUCGCCUUCCCUAGAGAGCUCUUGUCGCCGUCACCCCGAAGGAAAAGCCUUGGCUGAGGCUGCCAGCACAUGACCUUUAGAAGAGGGCUGCUUCCGUCGAGAACACCCACGCCACCCUCACGGUUCAGUUACUCUGGAGGUCUGGUUGUCAGGGACGGUCAUUCUGUCCCCCCUAUGCCACCGUUUCUGACACCUGCUUGGAGACUAGAGGGCUAGUCGGCCCCGUCCGUGCCUGUUACCAGCCCUUCUACCCUCGUGUCUGCCCCUCGUUUCUAGGAGCCAAGGAAGAGGUUCACGUACUCCCAGAAUUACCUCUCAGCCAUGGUGGAGCCCCAGGACUCUGAGGAAGAGGAAAAGAAAGCCAAGAAGCAAUCCCGCCAGGCCUGGCUCACGGCCAACGGAUUCCAACUGACAGGUCUUCACAAAAGCACCGAAAGCGACCGUCACAUCAGGCUGCCGCCCGUUGGCAUGGUCACAGAGCUGAACGAGGUCCACGGGGGGGUGGGGAGGAGUAGGGCCUCAGGCAGGGUGUGCACAGGAACAUCCCUCCUAACUUACUGUGCCGUUCUCCACGUAGGAGUGGAGGGAAAACACACCGCUCGCUAACAUGCUGGAUCGAAGGAGGUGGACGUGGGACCGCCGCCACCAGGACUUUGACCUGUACGGGAAGCCACCACUUUUCUUCGAGCUGCCCCCUUCUCCAGUGCUAAAGCCCAGAACAGGUAAGAGG